This 479-nucleotide ribosomal RNA is filed under the name uncultured bacterium. RNAcentral's name for it is "partial 16S ribosomal RNA". It matches the Rfam family "Bacterial small subunit ribosomal RNA", at positions 28 to 507 of the family's 1533-position model. The record is from RNAcentral.
GAUGAACGCUGGCGGCGUGCUUAACACAUGCAAGUCGAGCGAGAAGUUUUGAAAAGAUUCUUCGGAUGAAAUUUAAAAUGGAAAGCGGCGGACGGGUGAGUAACGCGUAGGCAACCUGCCCCAUACAAAGGGAUAGCAUUUGGAAACGAAUAUUAAUACCUUAUGAAACUUAACUAGUGCAUGCUAGGUAGGUCAAAGAUUUAUCGGUAUGGGAUGGGCCUGCGUCUGAUUAGCUAGUUGGUGAGGUAACGGCUCACCAAGGCGACGAUCAGUAGCCGACCUGAGAGGGUGAACGGCCACAUUGGAACUGAGACACGGUCCAAACUCCUACGGGAGGCAGCAGUGGGGAAUAUUGCACAAUGGGGGAAACCCUGAUGCAGCAACGCCGCGUGAACGAUGAAGGCCCUUGGGUCGUAAAGUUCUGUUCUAGGUGAUGAAAACUGACAGUAACCUAGGAGAAAGCCCCGGCUAACUCCGUG